Molecule: small nuclear RNA, 107 nt
Organism: Bison bison bison
Lineage: Eukaryota; Metazoa; Chordata; Mammalia; Artiodactyla; Bovidae
Source: Ensembl
GUGCUUGCUUCGGCAGCACAUACACUAAAAUUGCAAUGAUACAGAGAAGAUUAGCCUGGCCCCUGUGUAAGGAUGACGUGCAAGGUCGUGAAGCAUUCCGUAUUUUU